ACCAGGUGCAAUAGCACAUGCCUAUAGUCCUAGCUACUUGGGAGGCCACGGCAGGAAGAUUGCUUGAGUUCUGGACUAUAGUGUGCUCUGCCUGUUGGGUGUCUGCACUAAGUUUAGCAUCAAUACAGUGACUUCCUGGGAUUAGGGGACCACCAGGUUGCCUAAGAAGGAGUGAAGUGGCCCAUGGUAGAAAUGGAGGAUGUCAAAACUCCCAUGCUGAUCAGUAAUAGGUUUGUACUCCAGCCUAAGCAAUGUAGUGAGAUUCUAUCUCU
Molecule: signal recognition particle RNA, 272 nt
Filed under: Carlito syrichta (Philippine tarsier)
Lineage: Eukaryota; Metazoa; Chordata; Mammalia; Primates; Tarsiidae
Description: Metazoan signal recognition particle RNA (ENSTSYG00000031673.1)
Rfam family: Metazoan signal recognition particle RNA
About the family: The signal recognition particle (SRP) is a universally conserved ribonucleoprotein. It is involved in the co-translational targeting of proteins to membranes. The eukaryotic SRP consists of a 300-nucleotide 7S RNA and six proteins: SRPs 72, 68, 54, 19, 14, and 9.
Source: RNAcentral